CCCGCCCCGCCCCGCCCGGGGGCGCCGGCCGGGCCCGCCCUCGGGAAGCUCGGGUGGCGGGCUCCGCUCGCUCCGACCGCCUGUUCGAGGGUUGAUCUGGAACGCUGCGCCCGGCCCGCUGUACUGCCUGCUGUCGCUUAGCUUUUCGUCCUCCAGACCAGGCAGUUCCCCCCUCCCCCUUCCCCGCCGGAGGCGUGGUCCUCUUGGCCCCACUCGGACACCCACACCAAAAUAAGGGCCACCUCUUUCGGGGAGGACCCUCACAGCUGGGCACUGGCUGAAAAUGCACUGGGACGAACGGCCCGGAAGAAGUGAGAUUGGGGGUCAGGAUCCGAGCGUGCGAGGCGGCGAUGGGAGUGCAGUUAGGAAUCCUGACUUCUGGGAGGUCACUGCGCUGGGAAAGAAUUCAACACGGACUUGAAUUUCAUCUAGCUCUAGCAAAGCUUGGAUACGCAAUGAGAACUGACUACAGUGGCAGUUUCUCAGUCCGCUCCUGUGUGAUCUCAGCGAGCAUCUGUGUUGAGGAGUCGCAAAGCUUCUGUUAACCAGCGUGUUACUCUAGGUCAGAGACUUUCCGUACAAGUGAGUAUGAGGAUGAGAAAAAUUGAAAUUGACUCUUGCAAUUCUCCCGUCUAUACAUGAUGAAAAUAAAGAAGAAAAGGAAGUACUGAAUAUGCUUUUUUUGUAAGCAGAACUGAAGCUCACUAGCACUAAAAACGUGCACUUUCCCUCUCUCUGUACCCUUUCCCCGCUCACGAGCUGUGCUCUCUCUCUCUCUCUCUCGAAUAAAUAACAUUAAAAAAAAUUAAAGGAGCAGCUGGGUGGCUCAGUCUGACUUUCAGCUCAGGUCGUGAUCUCACCGUUCGGAGAGUUCGAGCCCCACAUCAGGGUCUGUGCUGACUGCUCAGAGCCUGGAGCCUCCUUCAGAUUCUGUUUCUCUCUCUCUCUCCCCUGCCUGUGCUCUCUCUCUCACAAAUAAAUAAACAUUAAAAAAAGGGGGGAGGCAGAGCACCUCGGUGGCUCAGUCAGUUAAGCAUCUGACUUCUGCUCAGGUGAUGAUCUCGUGGUCCAUGAGUUUGAGCCCCACAUCGGGCUCUGUACUGACAGCUCAGAGCCUGGAACCUGCUUUGGAUUCUGCGUCUCCCUAUCUCUCUGCCCCUCUCCCCUGUUCAUGCUCUGUCUCUCUGUC
RNAcentral lists this long non-coding RNA (1189 nucleotides) under Suricata suricatta (meerkat). RNAcentral's name for it is "lncRNA (ENSSSUG00005012956.1)". The record is from RNAcentral. Lineage: Eukaryota; Metazoa; Chordata; Mammalia; Carnivora; Herpestidae.